ACACCUCAACUCUCUACGGUUUGCCGUGGAGAGCUUGGACUUUGGAGGUUUGCUGGCCCUCGGUCGGCUCCUCUCAAACGAAUCAGCUUUCCAGUGUUUGGUGGCGUCACGGGUGUGAUAACUAUCUACGCUCGCGAUCCGUCCGCCUCGCAACCUUCAGCGAUGGAGGUUCGCUGGAGCUCAAAAACGUCUCUCCUCAGCGAAGACAGCUUUUCUGAC
This 219-nucleotide unclassified non-coding RNA is filed under the name uncultured Thelephoraceae. RNAcentral describes it as "sequence contains ITS2". The record is from RNAcentral. Lineage: Eukaryota; Fungi; Basidiomycota; Agaricomycetes; Thelephorales; Thelephoraceae.